This 1242-nucleotide long non-coding RNA is filed under the name Nicotiana tabacum (common tobacco). Its description in RNAcentral is "long non-coding RNA (NTAB_LNC008771)". The record is from RNAcentral. Lineage: Eukaryota; Viridiplantae; Streptophyta; Magnoliopsida; Solanales; Solanaceae.
UGUCAUCUUUAAUGGACAUCAUGUGAAGCUAAAAGAAGCAGCCAUAGAGCACGCCUCUUCUGCCGUGUAAAUAUCAUGAAAAUACCACUUCAAACUCCAGUCAAAAAAAAAAUAACUAGCGUCCAGCACCUUCUCUUCCUCCACCAAAUAGCUGCGCAAACAGCCACCAAACUACUCCUAAAUAUCUACUAAAAACCACCCAAAACACAGCAAUAAAAUGACCACCAGUCAGCCACCGAAGCAGCCCCUUUUCUCCGUCUAAAACCAACCCAAACCAGCACCAAAAAUCAGUACUGAAACCCAGCUGAAAACGUUCCAAAAUCGCCCCAAAGUUCUGUCCGUCUCCGAGUUCGAGGUUGCGUAUCCGAGUUCCGGUCGUGGUUUAUUCAUAUUUCAAUUGGAUUUCAUUGUUGCAUUGACGGCUAGAUCGGAUUAUGCGGUACAUCUUGCUGGAGGUACAAGAUCUACUUCUUUAUUAUUACUCAAAAAAGUUCUACUUCUUUAUUAAGCAUCCAUAGGUUUUAACAUUCAUUGAUCUUUGAAGAAAUCAGCCAUGUAAACUUGGUUCUUACUGUGUUUGUUGCUCUGGGGUAUUUCAUCAGGUUUGCCUGAAAACCUAAGAACUAGUACCAGAUUGACUCUCAAUUUCUAAAUUGUAAAAAUAAAUUUGGGAGGGGAAAUGACCUUUUUUGCUUUAGGCAAGGAUGUAUAUUGCUCGCCAUGCGUUGCAUCUCAUGUGCUAUGUACGUCGCUAGUAUUUUCGCUAAGGACAAAGUAAUAGUGAUUUAGUGGCAUAGGUAUUAAAAACAAUGAUAUAUAGCAUGCAUUAUAAUUUACGUUUUGGGAUCCUUGUCAGAAGUAAUAAUAGUAAUCAAUAAUGCAAUUGCAACAUUUAAACAUCCAUUCAAGCACCUAUUUUUAAUGCAUAAGUGAGUUUUACCUACAAGCAGUAUAAAGCAUUCUUGAACUGGUCAAGCGUAGUUUCAUCUGCUUGCUGUAUUGGGAAAAAUUGUAUUUAAAGGUGAUGUGUCGAGACACGUAGACUGGUCAAAUGGUCAAAGAAUUACAACUAGCCAAGAGGCACGAGUUGCAAUAGAUACGAGCAAAUGACAGAAGAAGAGGCACGGGCAGUUAUUCAAAUAACUCAACGCUCGUACCUAUCUAAGUCAUUUAUGUCCGAGAAUCAAAAGGAAUAAAUCUGACAAGAGAAAAGAGUGCAGAUACGGCAUUUAAUAGGCAAUA